AUGAAGAACGUAGCGAAAUGCGAUACUUGGUGUGAAUUGCAGAAUCCCGUGAACCAUCGAGUUUUUGAACGCAAGUUGCGCCCGAGGCCACCCGGCCGAGGGCACGCCUGCCUGGGCGUCACGCCUCGCGUCGCUCCGCCUACCUCGCCCUGAGCACCCCGUGCUCUUACGGCGGUGGGCGGCG
This 184-nucleotide ribosomal RNA is filed under the name Aloe hoffmannii. RNAcentral describes it as "5.8S ribosomal RNA". The stretch from base 1 to 121 matches the Rfam family "5.8S ribosomal RNA", at positions 36 to 154 of the family's 154-position model. From Rfam's summary of the family: 5.8S ribosomal RNA (5.8S rRNA) is a component of the large subunit of the eukaryotic ribosome. It is transcribed by RNA polymerase I as part of the 45S precursor that also contains 18S and 28S rRNA. Lineage: Eukaryota; Viridiplantae; Streptophyta; Magnoliopsida; Asparagales; Asphodelaceae. The record is from RNAcentral.